GGAGGAUCCGAGCGUUAUCCGGAUUUAUUGGGUUUAAAGGGUGCGUAGGCGGUUCGAUAAGUUGGAGGUGAAAUGUUAGGGCUUAACCCUGAAACUGCCUCCAAUACUGUUGGGCUAGAGAGUAGUUGCGGUAGGCGGAAUGUAUGGUGUAGCGGUGAAAUGCUUAGAGAUCAUACAGAACACCGAUUGCGAAGGCAGCUUACCAAACUAUAUCUGACGUUGAGGCACGAAAGCGUGGGGAGCAAACAGGAUUAGAUACCCUGGUAGUCCACGCAGUAAACGAUGAUAACUCGUUGUCGGCGAUACACAGUCGGUGACUAAGCGAAAGCGAUAAGUUAUCCACCUGGGGAGUACGUUCGCAAGAAUG
RNAcentral lists this ribosomal RNA (367 nucleotides) under uncultured bacterium. RNAcentral's name for it is "bacterial SSU rRNA". It matches the Rfam family "Bacterial small subunit ribosomal RNA", at positions 527 to 896 of the family's 1533-position model. The record is from RNAcentral.